RNAcentral lists this transfer RNA (73 nucleotides) under Stegodyphus mimosarum. It matches the Rfam family "tRNA". Rfam says of the family: Transfer RNA (tRNA) molecules are approximately 80 nucleotides in length. Their secondary structure includes four short double-helical elements and three loops (D, anti-codon, and T loops). Lineage: Eukaryota; Metazoa; Arthropoda; Arachnida; Araneae; Eresidae. The record is from Rfam by way of RNAcentral.
GCCUUCGUGGUAUAGUGGUCAGCACGUUCGAUGCGUAACCGAGAGGUCCGUGGUUCGAUUCCCGGCGAAGGCG